Molecule: ribosomal RNA, 492 nt
Filed under: uncultured bacterium
Lineage: Bacteria
Description: partial 16S ribosomal RNA
Rfam family: Bacterial small subunit ribosomal RNA
Source: RNAcentral
AGUGAACGCUGGCGGUAGGCCUAACACAUGCAAGUCGAACGGCAGCACAGUAAGAGCUUGCUCUUACGGGUGGCGAGUGGCGGACGGGUGAGGAAUACAUCGGAAUCUACUUUUUCGUGGGGGAUAACGUAGGGAAACUUACGCUAAUACCGCAUACGACCUACGGGUGAAAGCAGGGGAUCUUCGGACCCUGCGCGAUUGAAUGAGCCGAUGUCGGAUUAGCUAGUUGGCGGGGUAAAGGCCCACCAAGGCGACGAUCCGUAGCUGGUCUGAGAGGAUGAUCGGCCACACUAGAACUGAGACACGGUCCAGACUCCUACGGGAGGCAGCAGUGCGGAAUAUUGGCCAAUGGGCGCAAGCCUGAUCCAGCCAUACCGCGUCGGUGCAGCAGGCCUUCGGGUUGUAAAGCCCUUUUGUUGGGAAAGAAAAGCAGCAGGUUAAUACCCCGCUGUUCUGACGGUACCCAAAGAAUAAGCACCGGCUAACUUCGUG